RNAcentral lists this ribosomal RNA (253 nucleotides) under uncultured bacterium. RNAcentral's name for it is "partial 16S ribosomal RNA". It matches the Rfam family "Bacterial small subunit ribosomal RNA", at positions 524 to 776 of the family's 1533-position model. The record is from RNAcentral.
UACGGAGGGUGCGAGCGUUGUCCGGAAUCACUGGGCGUAAAGGGCGCGUAGGCGGUCGGAUAAGCGUGCGGUGAAAGCCCGGGGCUCAACCCCGGGUCGGCCGUGCGGACUGUUCGACUGGAGCACUGUAGAGGCAGGUGGAAUUCCGGGUGUAGCGGUGGAAUGCGUAGAGAUCCGGAAGAACACCGGUGGCGAAGGCGGCCUGCUGGGCAGUUGCUGACGCUGAGGCGCGACAGCGUGGGGAACAAACAGG